Molecule: small RNA, 486 nt
Filed under: Pan troglodytes (chimpanzee)
Lineage: Eukaryota; Metazoa; Chordata; Mammalia; Primates; Hominidae
Description: retained intron
Source: RNAcentral
AAUUAAGAGUGUGAUUUUUGUUUUCUAACAUUAUUCCAUAGUAUGGGAAGAACUGCCCUCUCCAGCAAGUACAUCAUCACUUGUCUCCCUUGUCUCUCAGAGUUGUCGCCUUCGUGAAUAUAUUAACUUCAAAAUUCAGCCACUGAGAUAUCACCUUCCAGGAACAUGGAUGGAACUGGAGGCCAUUACCCUUAGCAAACUAACUUAAGAACAGAAAACCAAGUCCAGCAUCUUCUCACUGAUAAAUGGGAGCUAAACGAAAGAACUUAUGAACACAAAGAAGGAAACAACAGACACUGGGGUCUAUUUGAGGGGGGGAGGGUGGGAGGAGGGAGAGGAGCAGAAAAGUUAACUAUUGGGUAUGGGCUUAAUACCUGGGUGAUGAAAUAAUAUGUAUAACAAAACCCCAUGACACAUGUUUACCUGUGUAAUGAGCCUUCACAUGUGCCCCCAAACCUAAAAUAAAAAUUAACAAAAAUUUUAUCU